This 157-nucleotide ribosomal RNA is filed under the name Clathrosporium sp. Its description in RNAcentral is "partial large subunit ribosomal RNA". It matches the Rfam family "Eukaryotic large subunit ribosomal RNA", at positions 99 to 261 of the family's 3401-position model. Lineage: Eukaryota; Fungi; Ascomycota; Leotiomycetes; Helotiales; Gelatinodiscaceae. The record is from RNAcentral.
CGGCAACAGCUCAAAUUUGAAAUCUGGCUUCGGCCCGAGUUGUAAUUUGCAGAGGAUGCUUCUGGCGCGGUGCCUCCUGAGUCCACUGGAACGUGGCGCCACAGAGGGUGAGAGCCCCGUAUAGUUGGCCACCAAGCCUGUGUGAAGCUCCUUCGAC